GUGGGGUAGGGGAGCGUUCUGUAAGCCGUUGAAGGUGGUCUGUAAGGGCUGCUGGAGGUAUCAGAAGUGCGAAUGCUGACAUGAGUAACGAUAAAGGGAGUGAAAAACUCCCUCGCCGGAAGACCAAGGGUUCCUGUCCAACGUUAAUCGGGGCAGGGUAAGUCGACUCCUAAGGCGAGGCCGAAAGGCGUAGUCGAUGGGAAACGGGUUAAUAUUCCCGUACUUCUUACAAUUGCGAUGGGGGGACGGAGAAGGCUAGGUGGGCCUGGCGACGGUUGUCCAGGUUCAAGUACGUAGGCGGAAGGUUUAGGUAAAUCCGGACUUUC
Molecule: ribosomal RNA, 326 nt
Filed under: Vibrio toranzoniae
Lineage: Bacteria; Pseudomonadati; Pseudomonadota; Gammaproteobacteria; Vibrionales; Vibrionaceae
Description: Bacterial large subunit ribosomal RNA
Rfam family: Bacterial large subunit ribosomal RNA
Source: Rfam by way of RNAcentral